ACUUACCAGGUCCAGACAUAG
Molecule: non-coding RNA, 21 nt
Filed under: Arabidopsis thaliana (thale cress)
Lineage: Eukaryota; Viridiplantae; Streptophyta; Magnoliopsida; Brassicales; Brassicaceae
Source: RNAcentral